RNAcentral lists this ribosomal RNA (253 nucleotides) under uncultured bacterium. RNAcentral's name for it is "partial 16S ribosomal RNA". It matches the Rfam family "Bacterial small subunit ribosomal RNA", at positions 524 to 776 of the family's 1533-position model. The record is from RNAcentral.
UACGGAGGGUGCGAGCGUUGUUCGGAAUCACUGGGCGUAAAGCGCGUGUAGGCGGCCCAUUAAGUCUGAUGUGAAAGCCCGGGGCUCACCCCCGGAAGUGCAUUGGAAACUGAUGGGCUGGAGUCCCGGAGAGGAGGGUGGAAUUCCUGGUGUAGCGGUGAAAUGCGUAGAUAUCAGGAGGAACACCGGUGGCGAAGGCGGUUCUCUGGGCAUUACCUGACGCUGAGGAGCGAAAGUGUGGGGAGCGAACAGG